This 357-nucleotide long non-coding RNA is filed under the name Setaria viridis. Its description in RNAcentral is "long non-coding RNA (SVIR_LNC009920)". The record is from RNAcentral. Lineage: Eukaryota; Viridiplantae; Streptophyta; Magnoliopsida; Poales; Poaceae.
CAAGAUGAACACGGUAUGCAAGUUCAACAAGUACGGAUUUGAAAAACUAUAUUAAGUUUGAUAAGAUAAACCAUCUAGACAAGGGUAGCAUCGUUCUUAAACCGCUGUAAGGAUACAUACUAUAUAUGACACAUAUGACAUACUAAUUUUUUCCUCAUAACUAAUAUUGAAAUUCUGUCCAUUCUAUCUCACAUUUACUCUCCAUGAUCUCCCUUACAUUCUAGCUCAAAAUCAUCUCCAUUUUGUACUUCACAUUCUAGCAAAUAAACUAUCCAUCUCCAUUCCACGCAUCAAGAAAAUUGUUCAUCACAUUCUAGCUCGAAAACAUAUAUAAAUACAAAUCCACUUCACUCUCCC